RNAcentral lists this unclassified non-coding RNA (323 nucleotides) under soil metagenome. RNAcentral describes it as "partial contains 5.8S ribosomal RNA, internal transcribed spacer 2, and large subunit ribosomal RNA". The stretch from base 1 to 120 matches the Rfam family "5.8S ribosomal RNA", at positions 35 to 154 of the family's 154-position model. The record is from RNAcentral.
GAUGAAGAACGUAGCGAAAUGCGAUAAGUAAUGCGAAUUGCAGAAUUCAGUGAGUCAUCGAAUCUUUGAACGCACAUUGCGCCCUGUGGUAUUCCGCAGGGCGUGCCUGUUCGAGCGUCAUUUCAACCCUCAAGCUCUGCUUGGUGUUGGGCCCUGCCCGCUGCGGCCGGCCCUAAAGACAGUGGCGGUGCCGCCUGGCCCUGAGCGUAGUACAUCUCUCGCUCCAGUGCCCGGUGGUAGCCUGCCAGAACCCCAACUCUCGUGGUUGACCUCGGAUCAGGUAGGGAUACCCGCUGAACUUAAGCAUAUCAAUAAGCGGAGGA